GACAAGGGCGUGAACGUGAUUGUUCACAAAAACGAAGAGCAAUACCAUAGGCGUUGGGGCUGACGUCACAGACACAGUCUCUUCUUCCUUCUUCAAUUGGGCGUGUAAUCGAAAUUCUUAUCUUAAACCCGUUAAUUUAGAUUCAUCGAUCUGCUUCAAGCUCAAGAUCUCUGGCUUUACCAAUCUCACAGUAUCUGCAGAAUUCAUUGCCCACUGAUAGAAUUCCUCACCCUUUCGACGAAGAAGUAGUCAACCUGUUCGCAGCAAGUUCAAAAAUUAUAAACAACGAUGAAACAAAUUGAGGAUGCAUUCAGAGAGUUACAACGAGAGAGGACAUUGCAAUAGUGUUAAUCAGUCAAUAUGUUGCAAACAUGAUAAGGUUCUCAGUAGAUAGCUACAACAAACCGAUUCCAGCAAUUUUGGAGAUCCCAUCAAAGGACCAUCCUUGCGAUACCGCACGUGAUUCGAUACUUUCACGAGUGAAGUACCUCUUCUCAGCUGAGUCAGUAGCGUUAACUUACCACCGGCAGCUGUUAAAGAGUUGUGUCUUGACCUGAACCAUUUGAAGUGGUAGUUUGCGCUGUAGUUGCUAGUUGUGUUCGGGAUUAUUAUAUAUAUUCUGUCAUAUGCACAAUAAGCAACGUUUAUGAAAAGUAAACCGAAGGAAAGUUCAUAUCUGAGGGUAGUAAAGAUAUUAGCAUUUCGAUUCUUCUAUUCUUAUCUUUCUAUUAGUUUGUUGAAUUUUGCAUCUUAAUUCGUGACUUCUCGACUUGAAUGGAUCUAUUUAUUCAGUCCUAUUAUUAUUAUUA
Molecule: long non-coding RNA, 809 nt
Organism: Diospyros lotus (date-plum)
Lineage: Eukaryota; Viridiplantae; Streptophyta; Magnoliopsida; Ericales; Ebenaceae
Exons: 3
Source: RefSeq, a predicted model, not a curated record